This is a long non-coding RNA of Sycon ciliatum, 1369 nucleotides long. RefSeq lists it as uncharacterized. Lineage: Eukaryota; Metazoa; Porifera; Calcarea; Leucosolenida; Sycettidae. The transcript has 2 exons. The record is from RefSeq and is a predicted model, not a curated record.
AUAAUUUCGUCAGCAUCCCGGAAUGGCAUUUCUUCGUUGGUCUGGCGACGAGAUUAUCUCACCGGCACACGAAUUAUUUCACGUCGGACAACAGUUGGUAAGGUCGUUGACGUUUGAAUGGCCCUGCACCAUAGCGGAUGCCGUCGUCCGCGUCAACUGUCCCCUUUCUCUGGAAUCGACCCGUCGGCUGGGUAUGCCUGAAAAGCCAGUUUUCCUAGGACAAAGCGAGGCCGCAAAGUGACAUAAAACCCGACGCGACCUGCCAAGGCGCUGUUGCCCAGGGAGACUCCAGACUCCAGUCAUGUAUAUUCAGGGAGCUCCUUACUUAGACUUUACCCAUGAUGGGUCUUCAGUCAGUUCUGUAUGGCUGUAGUGACAAGGGGAUCAUAGACUGAUAGAGCUAUCCCGGGAGAGUAGAAUGAAUGGGAUCGGGAGCUUAGAUUUUCACCGACUAGGUGGAGAGCAAUGGUCGUAAAAUCCACCUGGCGAAAUGGUGGUAAAUACACGAUAUGCCCGCAGUACAAUCUCCAAGCUGCAAAGUUCUGGAAAAGAACACUCCUUCCCGGGAGCGCGUUUUGUGGGCAGGCACUUUUGGUACUUUUCUGGUAUGUUUCAUGUUUGGUGUAACAGAAUUCGACUAAAUGCCUGCCAUAAGGCUUGGACAGUGCAUAGUUCUGCCAAUUUCACUUUUGUCACUUAGGGUAUGCCACGUUUCUAUGCAGAAUGAGCGCAAUUGCGCCAAUUUAGCCCUAUAAAGAUCAGUCUAUUCUUAUUAUUCUUUCAUUCAACAUCAUAUGCCUCCACUGAUGAGCUCAGGAGGAGCGAAACAGCUGUCUGGAGGGUCAUUGUCAAUAUCAAUCUAUAUACCGGAAUUGUCCUCGCUGUGGUGAUGGUGAUCAUGGCAUGAAGAGCACACACCUCAUCAAGAAAUCGAUAACUCUGGAGGACAUCUAUGUUGCAUGCAGGAAUUGUUGGACCAAAGUGGAAGUGACAUGCGUAGUCGAGCCAGUAGGCCUCCGCAAGAAGAGCAUUUAUUCCUCGCAGCCAUAUCCUUAUCCUUCUGCAUUUAUUCCGGUGUGUCCAUGCGGCAUUUUGGUGUUAGUUCUUUGCAAUAUACCGGUACAUGUCCUGAGAACCUCGUACGUGAAUGAUGCUGUGCUGGGGAUGAUUCCCCGCGAGUUUAGAGGGCUCCCCCUCUCUGUCUCUCUUUCUCUCUCUCUCUCUCUCUCUCUCUCUCUCUCUCUCUCUCUCUCUCUCUCUCUCUCUCUCUCUCUCUCUCUCUCUCUCUCUCUGCCCCUCUCUCUCUCUCUCUCUCUCUCUCUCUCUCUCUCUCUCUCUCUCUCUCUCUCUCUCUCUCUCUCUCUCUCUC